GCUGGGGUCUGCGAAAAGACAAAUUCCUCAUGCAAGAAAUUGUAUAGGGCUAAUAAAGUGAUCUGAUCUUAUCUAAUUAAAUUCAGGACCCAGCAGCGCCCAUCAGCCCGUCACCAUACCGCGAUAGAUGUCACUUAUUAGCACCUCUCAUAGUCUAGUACAUAAAUAUAUAUUUUUCAGAAUUAUUUGACGAACUCUUUCAGAUCUGUUAUCCAAACCCUCCCAGGUGGAGUCACUGAAGCGGUUCAUUCCCUGAUUUAUCCAGGAGGGGCGGGGGGGAGUUCGUUCAGACACUAACGAAACGCCGCACUACAUUGACAUUGCACUAAGAGAGGCAGGGGGCGGGGACAGGGCGUCUUCGCCCUCAUAAAGCAGCGCCUUAGUGCCUUUUUUUUUUUUGCGCUCGCCUGCCCGCUAUGUCACCUUCAAGCUGGUCUGUCGGCAUUCGGUUUAAACGAGCAGCGCCAGAGAUGAACUGAAGCAGCGCAGGCGGGCAGAGACACAAGUUGCGUCAAGUCUCUGCCCGCGUGUGAUGUUUCAGUUCAUCACUGGCGCUGCUCCUUUAAGUGCGAUGUGUUAGAGGUAAGGGGUCAUUUUCGGCAAUGAGACUGGGGCGGACCGACCAAAGCAUUAGGACCGGGGACUAUAGUGCCAGAUUCACCCCCCUACCAGCCGAACGACGCAGCGUGUCCCUCCGCGAGUUGCAGGAGCACAGUAUCCCUACUGCCGCAGGGUCUCUUCCUGUCACUACGCCACCUCCAGGCGAGCGUGUGAGAAAUGCAAUACGAGUCUGCGGGUAAUGGGGCGUGAGAUUGGACUGCACGUCCCGUUGGUUUUCAAUAGGAUUUGAGAUCUGGGUUCUUUUUCCGGCCGGGGAAGGCGAUGGGAGUCUGUCUCGGGCCGUGCGAGGUCAUUCGCUCUGGGGGACCGUCCCUGGCCAGACCCCUCCCCGCUAUUUCACUCCUCUUUCAGAGAAACCGGUGGGUCCGGUGCGACGUGUAUUUCAAUCCGACGCGCCAUUGCCUUCCACGACGCUUCCUCUCCUCACAAGAGCAGCAGGACUGCACAGAUUUCUGAAGCUUGUGAUAAACAUGCCACGUCCUGCAGGAAUCGCGCUUGUUGAAGGCAGAAGCGGGAGCCGGUUUGCGGAGGGGUGGGGUUCCUAAUAUUUUGGCCGGUUGGUGUGUUGGUAGCAGAGGGUGCAUUUUGUGCACAGGUAGACGAAACACUGCCCGUGCAAUGGGUCGGAACAAGGACCUGACCGAAUUCGAGAGAGGGAUGAUAGUCGGAGCCAGGCUAUGCGGGGCUAGUCUAGCUCAGACGGCCCGCAAGGUCCUGAAGUCCCGCACCACGGUCUGCCGGGUGUUCAAGGACUGGCGCACGGCGCAGAAGAGGAGCACGGACCGGUCGCGGUGCGGGAGAAAGCGGCUGGUCUCGGAAGAGGCCCGGCGCUGGCUGGCGCGGCUGGUGGAGAGCGAGUGCGAGCGGCCCUCCCUCACCAUCUCGUCCAUCACCGACUCCCUCAACGCCGCCCAGGCGCAGGACAAGGCGGUCUCGGCCCGCACCGUCCGCCGGGAGCUGCGGCGCCUCAACUUCCACACCAGCCGGGUCUCCCUCGUCCCGUACCGCAGGCAGAGCGACGGCGAGCCCUCGGCUCUCCCAGUGCGUAUUACCCCGGUCGCGCAAUCCUAUUGUUUUGAAAUACGAGGAGUUUUCAGAGCGAGCACGCACACACGCACACAAGUAAGAAAUUUGUGUUUUACAUGCAAGCCAUUACUGGAGUGCACGUUCGCACACGUAGUCGUAACAGUAGUUGAAUAUUCACGUCACGAAAGGUUGGAGAAGACAGCAGUCGUGUUGCAUAACACGGGGGCGUACAGUACUUUUACAAUGGGAAGACAAAACACCCUAAUAUCUCCCAAUGCUAGAUAUUUAGCGUUACAAAACAGCUAUUUACAGAGAGUGAAGGCGUCUGUGUUUUAUGUGUGACAUGGCAUAGUUGAUCGAUAGAUUUGCGCACUCGCGUGACAUCAACAAAGUUCACAGCGCAGCGAUUUUUCCCGUUUUUUUUUUUGGUGGAGGAGGGCGAUUAAACACAUGAUUUAGAGCACUUAAUCCUGCGAGAAACAACCUGUUAAUUCGUCUAUGACGCGAUCGGUAAGGAAUACGCCAGCCCACGGGGUGAAAAUAACUGGACUUGAGAGGAGAAACAAUGGAAAAGCCAACCCACAACAAACAGACCGCUGUAAAAAAGGAUGGAAAAUAAAAUUAAUAAAAGAGAAGAUGUCACUGAGA
Lepisosteus oculatus (spotted gar) is the source of this 2295-nucleotide non-coding RNA. The record is from RefSeq and is a predicted model, not a curated record. NCBI's taxonomy places the organism in Eukaryota, Metazoa, Chordata, Actinopteri, Semionotiformes, Lepisosteidae.